Long non-coding RNA from Juglans microcarpa x Juglans regia, 524 nucleotides. RefSeq lists it as uncharacterized. Lineage: Eukaryota; Viridiplantae; Streptophyta; Magnoliopsida; Fagales; Juglandaceae. The record is from RefSeq and is a predicted model, not a curated record. The transcript has 2 exons.
CCUGUAACCAUUGUUAAUGAGUAGUUUCCUCCAAAGGAUCUGCAAAAGCAACAUUAAGAACUACUUGGCGCAGACGUGGAAAAGGUCCAAUGGAGUUCCCUCGGUUGACUGGUUUCUAGUAUCUACGGUGGAGGGCUGAAGCUUAAAACAUGGUUCUUGCCCACCAAUUUCUCAAUGAAAAGGACUAUGUUAUAAGAAAGUAAAGAUCUUACAGUUCUGAAAGUACCGUCCCUGAGAACCAAGGAUGUGAAGAAUUGCUGGUUGAAUUACCUCUGUCAAAUUUGAGACCCAAAAUAUAGCUCUUAAAGGGGAGAAAUGAGUUUCUUGCUCAAACUAUGUUUAGAAGUAUAACAAAAGAGACGAGGAUGAUGAAGAUGAAAAAACAGAAAUGUAAGAGAAGAAACAUGUAACAAAUAUGAAGAAGAUCAUGAGCACCUGAAGAAGGGAAAGAUUUCUGGGGAGGUGAGGAAGUUGUAAUGAUACAAAGGUAGGAGAAGACUAUGAGAAUCACCACAGUUUCUAUA